Molecule: ribosomal RNA, 784 nt
Filed under: Lophium mytilinum
Lineage: Eukaryota; Fungi; Ascomycota; Dothideomycetes; Mytilinidiales; Mytilinidiaceae
Description: mitochondrial SSU rRNA
Rfam family: Bacterial small subunit ribosomal RNA
Source: RNAcentral
UUAAAAAAAAAAAAGGGAGAUUAAACCAAAAGUAUUAUAAGCUUAUGGAAGUUUUAACUUGUUUGACUAUGUCUUGUAAAGUUCUAGAUAAAGCUGAUUAUGACAACUUUACAUCUAAAUGUCUCGACUAAAUCUUGUGCCAGCAGUCGCGGUAAGACAAGGGAGACUAGUGUUAUUCAUCUUUAUUAGGUAUAUAGGGUACCUAGACGGGUUAUUUGGCCUUAAUUGGUACUAAUAAUGCUUGAGUUUUAUGAGAGAGGUAUAUGUCAGAACUACUGGAGUAGAGAUGAAAUAUUUUGAUACCUUUAGGACGGGUAAUGGCGAAGGCAAACCUCUAUGUAAAAACUGACGUUGAGGGACGAAGGCUUGGAAUGUGAAAAGGAUUAGAUACCCUUGUAGCCCUUGCAGACAAUGAUGAGUGUCAUAGAUUAGAUAGAGUAGUAACAUUACUCGCGUAUUUGGACUAUAAAUGAAAGUGUAAGCACUCCACCUCAAGAGUAAUACGGCAACGUAGGAACUGAAAUCAUUAGACCGUUUCUGAAACCAGUAGUGAAGUAUGUUAUUUAAUUCGAUGAUCCUCGAAAAACCUUACCACAAUUUGAAUGCUUUAAUAUAAUGUAUCGUUAACAAGGUGUAUCAACUAUAGUUUCUAACUUUGCAUUAUUUAAACCACAUGCGUUGCAUGGCUGUCUACAGUUAAUGUCGUGAGAUCUGGUUUGUUCCAUUAAAUUAACGUAAACCCUUGUUUUAUUUAUUAGAAUAAUACAGUUCACCAACAUAAUGG